Spinacia oleracea (spinach) is the source of this 2889-nucleotide long non-coding RNA. RefSeq lists it as uncharacterized. The transcript is spliced from 5 exons. The record is from RefSeq and is a predicted model, not a curated record. NCBI's taxonomy places the organism in Eukaryota, Viridiplantae, Streptophyta, Magnoliopsida, Caryophyllales, Amaranthaceae.
UUAACGACAAUAAGAAAAAAUGACAAAACCCGGUUAUCGUGACAUAAAGGGAGUGCAAUUAUGUUUGACCACGACGGCCAUAGGUUCCCUUGUGAUCCCUGGUGUGGGCAUCGCUAAACGUACACCCGCAGGGCAGAGAUUGAGAGUUCGGGGGACUGUAACUACCGAGAGGAGUGCUCUUCGAUAACUCCAGAGGCAGGAUAUCCUUACUAGUUCAGCAUAAAUAAUUGAAGGGACAUGCGUUAACUAUUAAACUACUCUAAAUUGAUUUCAGCAAUAUGCAACACAUAAUACUAAAUCGAUCGUGAUUAUCUUGUUUAGAUGGAUUUAAGGGACCUAGCAUGAUAAUUCAAAUGUCCAAGGUAAUAUCUUUAUUAGGCGUGAUAGAACAAUUAGAUUAAUAGUUUAACAGUUUUAUAAAAGGGUGAUGAAAGAGAUUAAAUCAUGCGAAGGGACACAUUACAACGCACCCUUGAGAGGUGCGUUGUGGUUCUCAAAAAACUAACCACUUUGUCUUCGCUAUUUCUCCUUUUAUUUAACGAAUCUCGAGUUUGCAAGCAAGGUUCCAGUAUCCGGGCUUAAUUCUUCAGCUACAAGGGACAGGAUACGUUCGAUUCGACUUUAGGGUCGAUUGCGACAGAACGCGGGAUCAAUUUCGCAGCGUGAGGCUUAGGCUUAGGGGUUGGAGUCAAUACUCAGAUUAUGAAUUGUGCGUUCUUUUCACGUCGAUUAUGAGGCUGUAUUUAUAGGGGAGAGUUUGUGGAAAGAUAGUUUUUUAGAAGACGAAUCCAAGAAGAAUUCGGAGAGAACACGUCCCCAGGUAUUUUCAGCGCCCAGGGCUGGGCGCCGAAGAUUUCGGCGCCCUGAACCAGGCGUUGAAAAUAGGAUCUGGGCCGCGUUUCCUUGUCAGAUUUGGACUCGUAGAAUACGGAGCCUUUGAGACUUAUCCGAGUCUUUUAGUGCGUAUUAACUUUAUGACGAAAUGCGUUUGGGCCCGUUACGAACUCUAGGUUCGUUAGGAUUUUAAUUAAUACGUAACUCUUAUUUUCGAAUUAUUCUAGGAACAGAAUUCCUUUUGUAAAUUCUAUCUCUUUUAGGAUUUAUGUUGGAGUGCAACACCUAAUUCUGACAGGUUUCUAUCUUUUAUGACUUGCCACUUUUAGCAACUACCCUUUACGGCAAUUAUUAUUCUUAGCAGGUUUCUAUAAAUAGCAGGUUUGGCUAAAAUGAAAAGGGUGAUCGAGAUUCGUUAUUUUAUAGGAGAUGCGUUGCCAAGUGGAGAUUUAUGUUCUCAUCAUCGAACCUUCCCUUUCGGGAAUGGGGAAAAAAGAGAUAAAUAUGGUGUUCAGUGACACAGCCAUGAGGCUCCAGUAUUUCAUCAUUUGGGCUGAACUGACUGUAGAUGGUAUUUUCUAUGUUAUCGACACGGGUUACGGUAAAAUGAAGGUCUACAAUCCAAGAAUGGGUAUGGAUGCUCUUCAAGUCUUCUCUGUGAGCCGUGCUGCUGCUGACCAGCGUGCUGGACGUUCUGGUAGAACUGGGCCCGGCACUUGCUACCGUCUAUAUAUAGAGAGUGCAUAUCUGAAUGAGAUUCUUCAUAGUCCUGUUCUUGAAAUUCUGAGGACAGGUCUUGGUAAUGUUGUUUUGCUUCUGAAAUCUCUCAAAAUUGAGAACUUACUAGACUUUGAUUUCAUGGACCCACCUCCACAAGAAAACAUCCUAAAUUCCAUGUACCAGUUGUGGGUACUGGGUGCCCUUAACAAUGUCGGUGGCUUAACAGACCUCGGUUGGAAAAUGGUGGAAUUUCCGUUGGACUCGCCACUAGCAAAGAUGCUACUGAUGGGUGCAAAGCUGCAUUGCCUCGAUGAGGUGUUGACUAUAGUGUCAAUGCUUUCAGUUCCAACAGUAUUCUUCCGUCCCAAAGACAGGGAAGAAGAGAGUGACCUGCUAGGGAAAAGUUAUUUGUCCCUGAAUCGGAUCACUUAACCCUUCUCAAUGUUUACCAACAAUGCAAAAGCAACGAGUAUCGAGGAGACUGGUGCAAUGAUCAUUUUCUACAGGUUAAAGCUUUACGCAAGGCUAGGGAAGUAAGAUCCCAACUUAUGGAAAUACUGAAUCAACUUAAGAUUACACUUCAUCUGCUGAUUGGGAUAUGGUUAGACAAGCUAUAUGUUCUGCAUAUUUCCACAAUUCUGCUAAACAGAAGGGGAUUGGCAACAGAGAGGAGCUAGAGAUGUGCUGAAUGAAACCACAGAAGCUCGUCUCCUCAAGAAGAGACAACUGAACACACACUGGCAGCAUCCUUGAGACCACUGAACACACACUGGCAGCAUGAACUGCAUAGAGAUGAGGCUGGAACAACUGUUAUUAAAACAGUCAAGCUAGAUGCAGCUCUUGGAGGGAAGGCUGUGCAGCAUAGGGAGCUCCAGGGUUUUGAAUCAGACACAUUUUUGUCGUACUUAAAACCAUACAUCUUACCUUUAGAGGGUGGAGUUGAAUCUGGAGUUUUGUUGUACUUUGGUCUGCAAAGUUCUUUUUCGAAUUAUUGAAAAUCAAGUGCGCUUGAGCAAAACGAAUUUCAGGGAAUAUAUUCCGCGGUGCAAGCUGAAGUGCUGCUCCUACUGAUGUGCAGCUGGCUCAUUCAAGAACACCACAGACUUGCACCGAAGUGCUGCUCCUACAGAUGUGCAGCUGGCUCAUUCAAGAACACCACAGACUGAUUUUCUUUGCUUUAUUACUGAACCAGUACGAAGAAGCUAGGGGAAGGGUAUUCUUGUAAUUUUUUUAUUUUUUUCCAUUUCUAUUUUGUAAACGCAUAAAGUAAAUUGUAAAAGAUACAUUAUUUUUUAAUAUACUUAAUACUGGUUUAUGCAAAAAAAAAAAAAAAAA